CUAAAGGGGCGGAGUCUGGAGCAGGAUUCUUCUGUUUUUCUUAAAGUCUUCAUAUAUUGCUAAGACUUUCCCUAAUUGUGAGAAAGCUUGCUCCUGAUCCUUCCAAACUUAGAACGCUACGAAAAUUCAUACGCGGACCAAGUGUACUUCCACCUUAUUUUGACAUCAGUCUCCUGUUUGCCAAUCGUGAAUGUGCUGUUCAUCGUACGCAAACACUUGUAAUGGAACAGACUGUAAAACAUAAAGUCUCUGCCAUCCAUAGGUAUAACAUCUACUUGAGAAAACAAACAAGACAAUAAAUUUGUGGAACAGUAAGAGAAAAUGAGCUGCCUAACUGGCAGGUGCUGACUCUGAAUUCAACAUAACACGGUGAAGGAGCGAGGUUAGUUGGGCCUGGAAUAGAUGAAGUUUUCAAGGAGGAAGUGGAGCUUGAGCUGCUGAGGACUUUUUUCCUAAAGAAAACUCUUCACAGGACCCCGCUAUGGACAACAGAUACAAAUCUAGCUGACCUGUUUGAAGUUAGCGUGGGAGUGGAGACGGUGGCCCUGCUCAUGACCACUUGGCUUCUCUCUCACCCUCUCAGGCGACCCUUUGAGGCACGCUGCUGAUCUCUGGCUAAAACUAGAUAAAGUCCUGGCCGAUAAAGUCAUGAGGAUUGGAACUAGAGCGGCCCCAGAGGAAAUUAGAGACAGGAAUGAAUCCAAGAGACAUUUAAAGGAACAAACUGUUUCUCUCCACAGAUUAUAUACAGGAAACGAAGGAAAAGAAAGAGUAAACAAGAAUUACUAAACUGUUGGCCCAAGGAAAUAAAAACCUAGUAGUAAACUGAGAGAGAGUAUCUCAACAGGUACUUGUCGUUGGCAGACAGAGCCAGACCAAGGAGCCUGGUACCCAGAAACUAGAGACAAAUUAGGGCAGGAUGGGAAAGAUAAGAAGGUUCCUGUAGUCACCAACAGGAAGAGUCCAGACAGGCUGGUAAAGCAGCAGGGUUGUGUAUCAGUAGGCAAUAAGCAGGCAGACAGCUAGACUCUGAAAGUCUAGCAAUGGAUGUCCUGGCAGGCAGGCAGAGAAUAGAUUCCAGACAGUCUGGUGGCAGGCAGUAGGCAGAGGUUGAAGCAAACUGUAUGUAGCAGGAGUCCAGUCAUGGGGAUUGGGGCUAAGAAACAAAUUAGCAGUCCCUUAAGAGGUCUGGCAAUACAGUGCCAAACAAAGCAGGGCACCAGGCCUAAAGGAAUCGGCAUGGCAGAUGAAGUCUAUGAAGAGAGGCAGACACAGGCGAAUGAAAAUGGCACCCAAGACACCCAGUUAUUUCAACUGGUCUGUGAGAUCACAGUGGGACGAGAAGCGAUAGGUCCACUUGAUGCUAAGCCAUCACACUAUUGAAAUAGUGCUCCUUAAAUCCUCUCUGACCAGGAGCAGGAUUGGUCCCAGUAAAGGAAAAGUAGACAGCAAGAAAAGGCCUGGAAACAAUAAUGACCAAUAAUGGUCACUUACCUAGAGGUAAAGGUUAACGUGUUCAGUUGUGAUGAUUACAGGGUUUGGGCUAGAAAGCCAGGCAGCUACAACAUAG
Molecule: long non-coding RNA, 1570 nt
Filed under: Equus caballus (horse)
Lineage: Eukaryota; Metazoa; Chordata; Mammalia; Perissodactyla; Equidae
Description: lncRNA (ENSECAG00000047215.1)
Source: RNAcentral